CGUGCCUACGGGGCGCAGCAGUGGGGAAUAUUGCACAAUGGGGGAAACCCUGAUGCAGCGACGCCGAGUGAGUGAAGAAGGAUUUCGGUAUGUAAAGCUCUAUCAGCAGGGAAGAAGCAAGACGGUACCUGACUAAGAAGCCCCGGCUAACUACGUGCCAGCAGCCGCGGUAAUACGUAGGGUGCGAGCGUUAAUCGGAAUUACUGGGCGUAAAGGGGGUGCAGGCGGUUUUGGAAGAUGG
RNAcentral lists this ribosomal RNA (241 nucleotides) under uncultured bacterium. Its description in RNAcentral is "partial 16S ribosomal RNA". It matches the Rfam family "Bacterial small subunit ribosomal RNA", at positions 333 to 591 of the family's 1533-position model. The record is from RNAcentral.